Molecule: ribosomal RNA, 490 nt
Filed under: uncultured bacterium
Lineage: Bacteria
Description: partial 16S ribosomal RNA
Rfam family: Bacterial small subunit ribosomal RNA
Source: RNAcentral
AUUGAACGCUGGCGGCAGGCCUAACACAUGCAAGUCGAACGGUAACAGGAAGCAGCUUGCUGCUUCGCUGACGAGUGGCGGACGGGUGAGUAAUGUCUGGGAAGCCGCCUGAUGGAGGGGGAUAACUACUGGAAACGGUAGCUAAUACCGCAUAAUGUCGCAAGACCAAAGAGGGGGACCUUCGGGCCUCUUGCCAUCGGCUGUGCCCAGAUGGGAUUAGCUUGUUGGUGGGGUAACGGCUCACCAAGGCGACGAUCCCUAGCUGGUCUGAGAGGAUGACCAGCCACACUGGAACUGAGACACGGUCCAGACUCCUACGGGAGGCAGCAGUGGGGAAUAUUGCACAAUGGGCGCAAGCCUGAUGCAGCCAUGCCGCGUGUAUGAAGAAGGCCUUCGGGUUGUAAAGUACUUUCAGCGGGGAGGAAGGGAGUAAAGUUAAUACCUUUGCUCAUUGACGUUACCCGCAGAAGAAGCACCGGCUAACUCCGUG